RNAcentral lists this ribosomal RNA (255 nucleotides) under uncultured bacterium. RNAcentral's name for it is "partial 16S ribosomal RNA". It matches the Rfam family "Bacterial small subunit ribosomal RNA", at positions 99 to 354 of the family's 1533-position model. The record is from RNAcentral.
CGGACGGGUGAGUAACGCGUGGAUAACCUGCCGUAUACUGGGGGAUAACACUUAGAAAUAGGUGCUAAUACCGCAUAAGCGCACAGCUUCGCAUGAAGCGGUGUGAAAAACUCUGGUGGUAUACGAUGGUUCCGCGUCUGAUUAGCUAGUUGGUGGGGUAAUGGCCUACCAAGGCAACGAUCAGUAGCCGGCCUGAGAGGGUGAACGGCCACAUUGGGACUGAGACACGACCCAAACUCCUACGGAAGGCAGCAG